RNAcentral lists this ribosomal RNA (374 nucleotides) under uncultured bacterium. RNAcentral's name for it is "bacterial SSU rRNA". It matches the Rfam family "Bacterial small subunit ribosomal RNA", at positions 136 to 507 of the family's 1533-position model. The record is from RNAcentral.
GGGGGGAGUAACGUAGGGAAACUUACGCUAAUACCGCAUGCGCCUUCGGGGAAAGCCGGGGACCUUCGGGCCUGGCGCGAUUGGAUGAGCCCACGUCGGAUUAACUAGUUGGCGGGGUAAAGGCCCACCAAGGCGACGAUCCGUAGCUGGUCUGAGAGGAUGAUCAGCCACACUGGAACUGAGACACGGUCCAGACUCCUACGGGAGGCAGCAGUAGGGAAUAUUGGACAAUGGGCGCAAGCCUGAUCCAGCCAUGCCGCGUGAGUGAAGAAGGCCCUCGGGUUGUAAAGCUCUUUUGUCCGGAAAGAAAAGCGCCGGGUUAAUACCCUGGUGUCCUGACGGUACCGGAAGAAUAAGCACCGGCUAACUUCGUG